CCUACGGGUGGCAGCAGUGAGGAAUAUUGGUCAAUGGACGCAAGUCUGAACCAGCCAUGCCGCGUGCAGGAAGACGGCUCUAUGAUUUGUAAACUGCUUUUGUACAAGGGUAAACCUGAAUACGUGUAUUCAGCUGAAAGUACUUUACGAAUAAGGAUCGGCUAACUCCGUGCCAGCAGCCGCGGUAAUACGGAGGAUCCAAGCGUUAUCCGGAUUUAUUGGGUUUAAAGGGUGCGUAGGCGGAUUGAUAAGUUAGAGGUGAAAUGUCCGGGCUGAACUCGGGAACUGCCUCUAAUACUGGUGGUCUAGAGAAUGGAUGAGGUAGGCGGAAUGUGUGGUGUAGCGGUGAAAUGCUUAGAGAUCAUACAGAACACCGAUUGCGAAGGCAGCUUACCAAGCUAUAUCUGACGUUGAAGCACGAAAGCGUGGGGAGCAAACAGGAUUAGAUACCCCAGUAGUC
Molecule: ribosomal RNA, 460 nt
Filed under: uncultured bacterium
Lineage: Bacteria
Description: partial 16S ribosomal RNA
Rfam family: Bacterial small subunit ribosomal RNA
Source: RNAcentral